Molecule: ribosomal RNA, 497 nt
Filed under: uncultured bacterium
Lineage: Bacteria
Description: partial 16S ribosomal RNA
Rfam family: Bacterial small subunit ribosomal RNA
Source: RNAcentral
GAUGAACGCUGGCGGCGUGCCUAAUACAUGCAAGUCGAGCGAACGGACGAGAAUCUUGCUAUUCUUAUGUUAGCAGCGGACGGGUGAGUAACACGUGUAUAACCUAUCUAUAAGACUGGGAUAACUUCGGGAAACCGGAGCUAUUAUCGGAUAAUAUUUUGAACCGCAUGGUUCAAAAGUUAAAGACGGUCUUGCUGUCACUUAUAGAUGGAUCCGCGCUGCAUUAGCUAGUUGGUAAGGUAACGGCUUACCAAGGCAACGAUGCAUAGCCGACCUGAGAGGGUGAUAGGCCACACUGGAACUGAGACACGGUCCAGACUCCUACGGGAGGCAGCAGUAGGGAAUCUUACGCAAUGGGCGAAAGCCUGACGGAGCAACGCCGCGUGAGGGAUGGAGGUCUUCGGAUCGUAAAACUCUGUUAUUAGGGAAGAACAUGUGUGUAAUUAACUGUGCACAUCUUGACGGUACCUAAUCAGAAAGCCACGGCUAACUACGUG